RNAcentral lists this microRNA precursor (82 nucleotides) under Bombyx mori (domestic silkworm). RNAcentral's name for it is "mir-2807 microRNA precursor family". It matches the Rfam family "mir-2807 microRNA precursor family". Lineage: Eukaryota; Metazoa; Arthropoda; Insecta; Lepidoptera; Bombycidae. The record is from Rfam by way of RNAcentral.
AUGACUCAAAUUUGUAUGGAGUUGGAACAGCUUCCCUUCGUUUGCCGCUAGGGGCGCUGUUCCAACUCCAUACAAAGAGUUA